RNAcentral lists this ribosomal RNA (198 nucleotides) under Triticum aestivum (bread wheat). RNAcentral describes it as "partial small subunit ribosomal RNA". Lineage: Eukaryota; Viridiplantae; Streptophyta; Magnoliopsida; Poales; Poaceae. The record is from RNAcentral.
AUGCUGGUGGUGGAGCUGGGCAUAUGGGUCAUCCCGCUGACCCUCGUCUUCGUCCCGUGCCGGCGCAUCGUCCUCCUCCUGUCCAGGCUCCAGGAGCUUGGACGGACCAUGAUGCGCCCGAGGCUGGUGAUCAGCUCGCGGGAAGAGGACAUGUGGAGCCGCCUGUCCAGGCUUAACUCCAUGGCCUUCAUGUUGUGA